This 247-nucleotide long non-coding RNA is filed under the name Elaeis guineensis (African oil palm). RNAcentral describes it as "long non-coding RNA (EGUI_LNC029656)". Lineage: Eukaryota; Viridiplantae; Streptophyta; Magnoliopsida; Arecales; Arecaceae. The record is from RNAcentral.
CAUAGUGGGUCGGUAGUAGCUCUAUCGAAGAAUCUUAUAAGACAGGGAUUUAUCCCCCAAGUGACUACCGUAGAUUCUUUCAUGAACUUUUUAUAGCACAUAAUCGAUCUUGGACGGGUGCAAGCACUUUAGAAGAGGCAGAGAAAAUGAUUGCUUAUACAACUUGUUAUCAUAUAGAACAUAGCGGGCGGCCGACCUUAAAUACUUGAGUAGAGGAUCAAUCCAGCUAAGUUUCUCAUCAACUUAC